CAAUAGCGUAUAUUAAAGUUGUUGCGGUAAAAAAGCUCGUAGUUGGAUUUCUGCUGAGGAUGGGCGGUCCGCUCACUGAGCGUGUAUCUGCUUCAGCCUUGGCAUCCUCUCGUUAAUCGUUUCUGCGCUUGAUUGCGUGGGGCGGGUGGCGGGACUUUUACUUUGAGGAAAUUAGAGUGUUCACGGCAGGCUAUCGCCAGAAUACAUUAGCAUGGAAUAAUACUAUAGGAUCUUGGUCCUAUUUUGUUGGUUUCUAGGAUUAAGAUAAUGAUUAAUAGGGACAAUUGGGGGCAUUCGUAUCAACACGUCAGAGGUGGAAUUCUUGGAUUGUGUUGCGACGAACUACUGCGAAAGCAUUUGCCAAGGAUGUUUUCAUUGA
Molecule: ribosomal RNA, 379 nt
Filed under: uncultured eukaryote
Lineage: Eukaryota
Description: partial 18S ribosomal RNA
Rfam family: Eukaryotic small subunit ribosomal RNA
Source: RNAcentral